Molecule: ribosomal RNA, 507 nt
Filed under: uncultured bacterium
Lineage: Bacteria
Description: bacterial SSU rRNA
Rfam family: Bacterial small subunit ribosomal RNA
Source: RNAcentral
AACGAACGCUGGCGGCGUGCUUAACACAUGCAAGUCGAACGCGAAAGGGACUUCGGUCCUGAGUAGAGUGGCGCACGGGUGAGUAACGCGUAAGUUAUCUACCCCUCCAUCUGGAAUAACUCACCGAAAGGUGUGCUAAUACCGGAUACGUUGGAAACAAGAAAGGUGGCCUCUAUUUAUAUGCUACCGUGGAGGGAUGAGCUUGCGUACCAUUAGCUAGUUGGUAGGGUAAUGGCCUACCAAGGCAACGAUGGUUAGCGGGUCUGAGUGGAUGAUCCGCCACACUGGAACUGGAACACGGACCAGACUCCUACGGGAGGCAGCAGUGAGGAAUAUUGCGCAAUGGGGGGAAACCCUGACGCAGCGACGCCGCGUGGAUGAUGAAGGCCCUUGGGUCGUAAAGCUCUUUCGGCCGGGAAGAAAUCGCAUGGGUGAAUACCCUGUGUGGAUGACGGUACCGGAACAAGAAGCACCGGCUAACUACGUGCCAGCAGCCGCGGUAAUGUG